GAGUGAAAUGAUGUUUACCAUCUUUCGGGACUGACUUGCAGUGGAGAAAAUUCAAAAUGCUGAUCACUC
Molecule: small nucleolar RNA, 69 nt
Organism: Erpetoichthys calabaricus (reedfish)
Lineage: Eukaryota; Metazoa; Chordata; Cladistia; Polypteriformes; Polypteridae
Gene: SNORD2
Product: small nucleolar RNA, C/D box 2
Source: Ensembl